This is an RNA transcript of Rhododendron vialii, 4820 nucleotides long. RefSeq lists it as uncharacterized. NCBI's taxonomy places the organism in Eukaryota, Viridiplantae, Streptophyta, Magnoliopsida, Ericales, Ericaceae. The transcript has 5 exons. The record is from RefSeq and is a predicted model, not a curated record.
GGAUCAAGACAAAGAACAGCGGAAGCGCGCAGACGAACCCUAAUUACCAAACCCUACUGGCUUUCAAGCCUCGCCAGGUAUUGCUCGCCGAGAGAAACACUAAGGUGACGACGAUGAAGCAAUGCAGCAACUGCGAAACCCUAGCCCUGAAUCCUGAUCAGAAGCCCUUCUUCUCUAAUCGGUCCUCGGCUACCCCGAUCGCAAUGGCUUCUCCAGAGCUCUCAAACGCUUACUUUCCGAAGCUCAAAUCGAGGCCUCAGAGCAAGUUCAAUAGUAGUCAUUUUUGGUGCUGAACCCAUAAUUUGGAACCAGAGAAUAGAACUUUGAGCUCCGAUGCGGAGCCAAAUUUUGGUUCAAUAUUUGUAUGUAAUAGUCAAUAACCGUGCUCCAAACCCUAGCCCGACACCAUUGUUUCAUUCAUGCUACCAUUGACGCCAUAUGUGUUGGCGGCGUGCCGUUGCGAGGGCCGCGGAUGCCUGGGUUGUAGCAAUGACGGUGCGUUGUCGUUUCUACUCCGGUCAAACUAGCCAUUCUGGGACAUGUCUGUGGAGUCGGGCUUGGGUUCAUCAGCUGAGGGCGGAAAUAUCAGAGGAACUCCCACCCAUGGUGGACGCUACGUCCAGUACAAUGUCUACGGUAACCUAUGCUACGUCCUGUCGGCCGCGGUGCUUACGGUAUCAUUUGGCAAUUCCAAACGAUCGACAGUGCAUUGUUGUUCCUUCUCCGGUCAGAAGACCUGUCCGCUUACUGCAAGCUCUUGAAGUGCUUCGUUGUUGUCUCCGACAAUGCCCCUCUUCUCUCUUCGUUUUAUCCCGACUGUCGUUCGUCCCAACACGAGGUCUCUCCUAAUCCUCUCUAUUUUUGGUUGUACACAAUAUGGCAUGAUUGGUUACGGGGUAAUUGUUGCGGUGUUUAAUUUUAUUUUUUUAGAUACUUUAUUCCACUAUUCUAUGCACGAUUUGGAUAGAGAUAGCAGGGUUGUAUAGAUCGGUAAAAAUUACAUAUGGACAUGACGAAAACAUAUGGAAAACACGGUAUAUCCCUGUGCAUUGGCCUAUGCGUUUCAAAUGAAAGAGAUGAUCUUUGGCCCAUUUACUUUCUGCACAUGUUUCAUGUUAAGCAUCGAGAGAAAAAAUGAAAAUAUUGAGGGUGUCAUAGGUGAGGCAGAUUCCGAUAUAGCAUGUUUAGGAUUUGAUGUGAACAACAUUGUUGUCCAGUUCACACGUUCAUACAACUGGCUAGGUUGUGCUGUAUUUAUUUAUUCUCUCUGAGUUGGUUUACUCAUGAUUUAUCAUUUUCUUUUUUUCUCUGUGUUUGCUUGAGCAAGGGUAUGUUAAGAAUAUAUAUACUACCAAAUUGUGCUGUAGGAGUGGCCCUCAUUGAGUACUAGAUAGGUAUCUGUUUGACCUUGCAUUUACGUGUAACCAAAGAUGGGUCUAGCUUCGGUUUAAGAGUGAAGGUGCCUAUAAUUCUUUAUCUGGAUUCUGUCAUUGUGGGAGGUGUCUAAUUAUCAGGAAACUAGUCAUAGAUACAGUUAUGCACCUGGAUAUGUAGUUCUGCUAGUUUUGAUGCAUUCAUUAUCCCCCAGGUGACCAAACAACGGUUACACCCCUUCUUACUAAACUCUGCUUGAUGACACGAUCUAUGACUAGGGAAAGAAUUAGUCUACUGAAACUUUGCCCUCCAUGUACGUUACUUGAAGUGGGCAAGGCACUGGAAGCGACAAAGCUGGUGUUAGAUAUAAUUAGUAAUAAAAGAACUGAUGCAUAGUUCUUAGAGAGGAUGAUGCUAGAGAUUGAAGGGCGGGCCCAAACUAGCCAUUCUCAAUUGCAUGUUAGCGCAGAUGACGAUAAGGAUACCAACCAAACUCUUUAUGUUAAUUCUUACAUCGGUUGUGCUAAUGGGUCGACUGAUCCAGAAGUUGUGCUGGUUAAAACACAAGAAACUGAUCUUUUGGUGGAGUUGCUUGGGAAAAUUUUAUGACAGGUUGAAAGUGAUGGAGGAUCUGAUAUUUGGGGACUAUAUGGAAGUUGGCACAAACUUAAAGGUGAUCCCUCAAUGUGCUCCGAGGCUCAUCUAAAGCAAGUUAUGUUACGCCCUACCUUUUCUUUUUCCAAAUAAUAUAUUUUUUUUAAAAUUCGGCAUUUAUAGUACGAUCCUAUUUAACUAUUUUGUGCACAUUAGAGGUAUAAUUGUCAUUAUUAUGGAUUGAAGGGUAUAAGUCUAAUUAAUUUAUGUAAUUAGUGGUGUACCAUAAUUAAUUACUUUAGGUAAUCAAUCGGCUAGAAGUAAGGGUUUUGUGAGUUAUGAGUAGUUUUAUAAAGUUACGCUUAAGGAGAUAUUCACAUCAUACUAGGGUUAUAUUUUGAUAGAAUAUUGAAAAGGCUUUUUGAGAGAGAGCAUCAACCAUAGUCUUAGGGUUCUUUGGAGCCAAUAUUACAUCACGGUUUUUGAACUCGUUCUUGAUCUAGCGUCGGGGUACGUAAUAUUAUUUUGGUUUGUUUCCUUUCUUUGGAGAAGUAACAUUUUUAGAGGGGAUCAAGUUAUUGGGUUGCCUGUUUUGGUAUUUAAUUUACUUGGGAGAAUAUGUGAUUUUGGUGGAGGAUUGUUAUGAGAGAGAGAGAGAGAGAGAGAGAGAGAGAGAGAGAGAGGGGGGGGGGGAGUGUUGGAGGUUUUGGUGAUGUGUAUGUAUGCGUGGAUGUACGGGGUGAGUUGGGGUAGUUUGCGUUUUUGACUUCUGCUUAUGUAUAGUAUAUACACAACGAAUCUAGUUUUAUUGUAGAGUAUCAAGAGUCGGUGAAGCUUUGGUGGUUUUGGUGAUGUGUGUGUAUGUGUGGUUGUACGUGGUGUGUUGGGGUAGUGUGUGUUUGAGUUCUGCUUGUAUAUCGUAUACACAAAGAAUCUAGUUUUAUUGUAGAGUAUAAAUCUAGUUUUGUUGGUUGAAUAUUUUUAAAAGGAACAAGAGGCUGUAGAACUUGGAAGUAGUUUUUGGUACGUGGAUACUUGAGAGUUGAAUUAGUUUUAAGGAUAGUUAAUUACUUUUAGGGUAGCGGUAAGUUGCUCUAGGUAAUAUUAUAUAUGAAACAGUUAGUGAUUCCAUAUGGUUCAUUAUGUACAGGUUAGUCUCUUGUUGCGUGUAAGUAUUCCAUGUCUAUAUGAUCAUCAAUGAUAUGCCUACAUUUUCUUUUUCCAAAUAAUUUUUAUUUCUAAAAAUUCGGCAUUUAUAGUACAAUCAUAUUUAACUAUUUUGUGCACAUUAGAGGUAUAAUUGUCAUUAUUAUGGAUUUGAGGGUAUAAGUCUAAUUAAUUAUGUAAUUAGUGGUGUACCAUAAUUGAUUACCUCAGGUAAUCAAUUGGCUAGAAGUAAGGGUUUUGUGAGUUAUGGGUAGUUUUAUAAAGUUACUCUCACGGAGAUAUUCACUCCAUACUAGGGUUAUAUUUUGAUAGAAUAUUGAGAGGCUUUGGGAGAGAGAGCAUCGGUCAUAGUCUUAGGGUUCUUUGGAACCGAUCUUACACCAUGGUUUUUGAACUCAUUCUCGAUCUUCCGUCGGGUUACGUAAUAUUAUUCUUGUUUGUUUCCUUACUUUGGAGCAGUAACAUUUUUAGAGUAGAUCAAGUUGUUGGGUUGCAUGUUUUGGAAUUUAAUUUACUUUGGAAAAUUUGUGAUUUUGGUGUUGGAUGAGAGAGAGAGAGAGAGAGAGAGAGAGAGAGAGAGAGAGAGAGAGAGAGAGGAGUGUUGGUGGUUUUGGAGACGUAUUUAUGUAUGCGUGGCUGUAGGUGGUGAGUUGGGGUAGUGUCCGUCUUUGACUUCUACAUGUAUAUAGUCUAUGUAAAGAAUCUAGUUUUAUUGUAGAUUAUGAAAUGACGGUGAAGUGUUGGUGGUUUUAGUGAUUUGUGUGUAUGUGUGACUCUACGUGGUGAGUUGGGUUAGUGUGUGUGUUUGACUUCUUGUUGUAUAUAGUAUACACAAAUAAUCUAGUUUUAUUGUAGAGUAUAAAUCUAGUGUUAUUGGUUCAAUGUUUUUUUAAAGGAACGUGAGGCUUUGGAACUUGUAAGUGGUUGGUACGUCCGUACGUGGUUCAAACUACUUGGAGAUAAAGAGUUUUAGGUUGGUAGUUGACUAGGGACUUGAGAGUUGAUUUAGUUUUAAGGAUAGUUAAUUACUUUUUUGGUAGCCCUAAGUUUCUCUUGGUAGUAUUAUUUUUGAAACAAUCAGUGAUUUCUUAUGGCUAGUUAUGUACAGGUUAGUCUCUUGUUGCUUGUUAGUAUUCCAUGUCUAUAUGAUGAUCAUCAAUGUUACGCCCAACGUUUUUUUUUUCCUAAUAAUUAUUUUUGCUAAAAAUUCGGCAUUUAUAGUACGGUCAUAUGUUAACUAUUUUGUGUACAUUAGAGGUAUAAUUGUCAUUAUUAUUAAUUUGAGGGUACAAGUCUAAUUAAUUUUUGUAAUUUGUGGUGUACUAUAAUUAAGCACUUUAGGUAAUCAAUCGGCUAGAAGUAAGGGUUUUGUGAGUUAUGGGUAGUUUUAUAAAGUUACUCUCAAGGAAAAAUUCACAAACAUACUAGGGUUGUAUUGUAAUAGAAUGUUGAGAGAAGGCUUUGCGAAAGAGAGCAUCAGCAUAGUCUUAGGGUUCUUUGGAGCCGAUCUUACCCCACGAUUUUCGAACUCCUUUCCGAUCUUCCGUCGGGGUACGAAUUUUAUUCUUGUUUGUUUCCUUACUUUGGAGGUAUAACAUUUUUAGAGGGGAUCAAGUUAUUGGGUUGCAUGAUUUGGUAUUUAAUUUACUUGGGAGAAUAUGUGAUUUGGUGGAGGAUUGUUAUGA